Molecule: ribosomal RNA, 163 nt
Filed under: uncultured fungus
Lineage: Eukaryota; Fungi
Description: 5.8S ribosomal RNA
Rfam family: 5.8S ribosomal RNA
About the family: 5.8S ribosomal RNA (5.8S rRNA) is a component of the large subunit of the eukaryotic ribosome.
Source: RNAcentral
CAACUUUCAACAACGGAUCUCUUGGUUCUGGCACCGAUGAAGAACGCAGCGAAAUGCGAUAAGUAGUGUGAAUUGCAGAAUUCAGUGAAUCAUCGAAUCUUUGAACGCACAUUGCGCCCCUUGGUAUUCCAUGGGGCAUGCCUGUUCGAGCGUCAUUUGUACC